Lactuca sativa (garden lettuce) is the source of this 766-nucleotide long non-coding RNA. RefSeq lists it as uncharacterized. The record is from RefSeq and is a predicted model, not a curated record. Lineage: Eukaryota; Viridiplantae; Streptophyta; Magnoliopsida; Asterales; Asteraceae.
UUUUGACUUGGUCAAAAUCAAAACCCGUUAUCAGUGUUGAAGCCCUGGAGAAUUAGACGAUCGACUGAUCUUGACCUCGAGAGGGAGGAACGAGAGACUGCAGGCGAAGGGAACUCGAAUAAACGAUACACACCUCCGGUAUUGGUUCAAAAUAGGAGAAAAAAAUGAGGGCAAGGUUCGAUUGGGGUUCUUCAUCCACAUCAGAUCGAGAAUAUGAAGGGAACACGUACAGGAAUCUCACAAUAGAGCAUCCGUUUCGACUGAUUCAGAAGACAAUUGAUUGAAAACAGCAACAGAAACGAGGAAAGGGGGAAGGACUUCGGUCUCCUGUUGAUCUGAGAAGAAGGAAACACGAAAUCAGGGGGAAAGACAACCACCAAAGGUGAGAAGGGUUGCCUCUGUGGUGAUCGACGGGAACAGGUGAAAGCAAAAAUCACGAGGCUACUGCCUCCUUGCUCAUUGGGAGGAAACAACACCUCCGAUGAGUAGUUUCUGGCAGCAAUCGAUGGAGGAAUCAGGCAGCAGCAAAACCAAUUCUCAGGGGGGUUUUGGAUGGUUCGAUUGACAGCUUGAUUUUGAGGAAGGAAACACGUUUCCUUUGUGUUUGUAUGUAGUAUUGUCUAACAAAAUUGCUUACUUUGUACGUAGCUUUGGUUUUGGUUUGUGUGUAGCUUUGCAUGUGUAAUAAGCAAUGGCUAUCAAAUUUGUGUAUCUAUAAAUUUUUUAGGGAUUUUGGAGAGUAUAACUCUAUUUUUUUUUUGGAAAA